Molecule: long non-coding RNA, 978 nt
Organism: Drosophila montana
Lineage: Eukaryota; Metazoa; Arthropoda; Insecta; Diptera; Drosophilidae
Exons: 3
Source: RefSeq, a predicted model, not a curated record
AUUUUUAAUGUUUCAAUUCAUAUGCUCACGUUUGACAAGUUAAUUUUGAUUGCAUCAGUAAACAUAGAAAAAAACUAUAAGCCUAUACAAAUUGUUUACAUUAUAUCUGAUAACCAAAUGUUCACAGUACCAAACGAAAGACUCAGUAAAGGACUUCGAAUGCGUCGGAAAAAUAGAAAGGGCAGUCAUAGGACUUCAAUACAUUUUUUAUGGGUAACCAGAUGAUGGCCAUCUUUAGUUCUCUACUAAUUUUCUGCCAAUCGUGCGUUCCAUUGAUUUUUAUAUCCCAUUGCAACGUUGAACACUGGCUACUGAAGCUGUGUAAUUGACGCCAUGUACGAGCAUGUGUGCAAUGUGUUCAAUGUGUGCACUGUGCAGCAUAAAAAGUUGAUUAGAGCUCGCAUGGGAACAGCAGCGGCAGCCGGGUCCAACAAUUACUAACCCGAUGCCAACAUGGACAAAGGCACAUGGUCGAACAAAUUCUACGCUUUGUGGGCAAAUUAGCUGCACGAGAAAACAAAGCACCGCAUCGCAAUGCGAAUGCAAAUGCAAAUGCCAGGCCAGCGAUAAACGUGGAGCUGGAGCUGGAGCAGACGUCACUGACAACAUCAGAGAAAUGGAUGCCGCAUCGGUGGCCUUCAACGGAAGCGAAGGCAGCCGCCACAUUAGCAGCUCUUUUGGUCAUUACCUCUUUUUGUUGUAUGCCCUGUGCUGCCGCCACGCAUUUGGACAACAAAAGAUUGCCCGCUGGUUUUUGGACGCGCGCGUGCCUUGUGCGGCACUUUACCGUGUUUUACCAAACAAUGAAAACGCUUUUCAAUUGUUGUUGCUGCAGCUUCUGCUGUUUGGCUAACAGGCGCUGCCGAUGGCCCGUCACGUCUUGUCAUAUGCAUUCAAGCUAACACAAAAUUAGGACUUUCCAUUCUGAGCCUAUUUCAGAAAUGUCGUAUAUAAAAGCAUAAAUAAUGACAACGAAUU